AUUUCCCAAAGUUUACUACUCUCUUCUCCUUUCCUUGCAUCUCUCUCUUCUUUUUAAUAGAGAAAGAGAAUAUAAUUAUAUAAACCAUGCUUAUUUUCUGAUUAUCCUUCCAUUUUCAACUAAACUUGUUUAAUUUUUGCUUUCCUUUACUUAAAAGACUGUAUAUACUCUACUUCAUUCCCCUGUUUUUUCCUCUGUUUUAGAGAUACGAACUCUAGUUUCCAUUUCUAAUUAAUUUCAGGUCACCAAUUAAUAUCUUCUCUCUUCGUCCGUGGUUUUUUCAAAUUUAAUUUUAGUUUGUUCUAAAUAUACUCUGCGUCAUCCUCUGUUUUUUUUAGAGAUAUCGACUCUCUAGCUUCCUUUUCUGAUUAAUUUCAAAUCACUGAUCAUUCAAUGGAAACUACUUCAUCAACCCCGUCAAGGAACGAAAGCACAAGGUUUCCUCCAAAUAGGGGCCAAAUCAAGGCUCAAAAUUUUCAGACUCCAAAGAGGGGCCAAAUCAAAGCUCAAAUAUUUGAGAGCUUCACCUCGACAGUAGUCUCCUGGGCCUCAACACUGAGUGGGAGGAAUAAAGAAGGCGGCACCUCAGCGCCUACAAGCUCCCCACGGAGCUCUUACAAUUCCGAUGGGUAAUUAAUUAAAUGGAGCCUAGGAUGAUCUCUCAAUAAUGUUGAAGAUUCUAUGAUAUUCCGAUGCUUUUUUGAGAUUCAGAUCAAAGCGUCCGUUUAAUUGUUUGGAUUGAAUUUGCAGGAAUUGAAGAAGAUUUCUUUUUUACUUCUUCUUAUUCCUGCAUAUCUCUGUUCUGUUGUAUUAAGUUAGAAGUGUGCCUUUUUUAGCUUUUAAGCAACUUUUAAGUAGCUAGUCUCUGUUGGAUAUACUUCUUUUGAUAUGUUCUUUCUGCAAGUUUUAGAUUGCAGAUGGCAUACUUUGGAGGUGUUUUUUAUUGGGUGUGUAUGUUAAUAAGUAUUGUACCAAUAAAGUUGAUUUUGUUUUGUAAAUAUUGUGUAAAUCUAAUGGAUUUUAUGGUUUAAGUUUUUAUGUAGACACUUGGUGAA
RNAcentral lists this long non-coding RNA (1055 nucleotides) under Panax ginseng (ginseng). RNAcentral's name for it is "long non-coding RNA (PGIN_LNC015739)". The record is from RNAcentral. Lineage: Eukaryota; Viridiplantae; Streptophyta; Magnoliopsida; Apiales; Araliaceae.